AUGCAAGUCGAACGGUGAACACGGAGCUUGCUCUGUGGGAUCAGUGGCGAACGGGUGAGUAACACGUGAGCAACCUGCCCCUGACUCUGGGAUAAGCGCUGGAAACGGCGUCUAAUACUGGAUAUGUGACGUGAUCGCAUGGUCUGCGUCUGGAAAGAAUUUCGGUUGGGGAUGGGCUCGCGGCCUAUCAGCUUGUUGGUGAGGUAAUGGCUCACCAAGGCGUCGACGGGUAGCCGGCCUGAGAGGGUGACCGGCCACACUGGGACUGAGACACGGCCCAGACUCCUACGGGAGGCAGCAGUGGGGAAUAUUGCACAAUGGGCGCAAGCCUGAUGCAGCAACGCCGCGUGAGGGAUGACGGCCUUCGGGUUGUAAACCUCUUUUAGCAGGGAAGAAGCGAAAGUGACGGUACCUGCAGAAAAAGCGCCGGCUAACUACGUGCCAGCAGCCGCGGUAAUACGUAGGGCGCAAGCGUUAUCCGGAAUUAUUGGGCGUAAAGAGCUCGUAGGCGGUUUGUCGCGUCUGCUGUGAAAUCCGGAGGCUCAACCUCCGGCCUGCAGUGGGUACGGGCAGACUAGAGUGCGGUAGGGGAGAUUGGAAUUCCUGGUGUAGCGGUGGAAUGCGCAGAUAUCAGGAGGAACACCGAUGGCGAAGGCAGAUCUCUGGGACGUAACUGACGCUGAGGAGCGAAAGGGUGGGGAGCAAACAGGCUUAGAUACCCUGGUAGUCCACCCCGUAAACGUUGGGAACUAGUUGUGGGGUCCAUUCCACGGAUUCCGUGACGCAGCUAACGCAUUAAGUUCCCCGCCUGGGGAGUACGGCCGCAAGGCUAAAACUCAAAGGAAUUGACGGGGACCCGCACAAGCGGCGGAGCAUGCGGAUUAAUUCGAUGCAACGCGAAGAACCUUACCAAGGCUUGACAUAUACGAGAACGGGCCAGAAAUGGUCAACUCUUUGGACACUCGUAAACAGGUGGUGCAUGGUUGUCGUCAGCUCGUGUCGUGAGAUGUUGGGUUAAGUCCGCAACGAGCGCAACCCUCGUUCUAUGUUGCCAGCACGUAAUGGGGGGAACUCAUGGGAUACUGCCGGGGUCAACUCGG
RNAcentral lists this ribosomal RNA (1100 nucleotides) under Microbacterium oxydans. RNAcentral describes it as "bacterial SSU rRNA". It matches the Rfam family "Bacterial small subunit ribosomal RNA", at positions 55 to 1166 of the family's 1533-position model. Lineage: Bacteria; Bacillati; Actinomycetota; Actinomycetes; Micrococcales; Microbacteriaceae. The record is from RNAcentral.